Molecule: regulatory RNA element, 76 nt
Organism: Lutispora thermophila DSM 19022
Lineage: Bacteria; Bacillati; Bacillota; Clostridia; Lutisporales; Lutisporaceae
Rfam family: c-di-GMP-I-GGC riboswitch aptamer
Source: Rfam
NNCGAUAAUGGCAAACCAUGGGAAACCGUGGGACGCAAAGCUAUAGGGCCUGUAAAAUGGCAGCCAGCUACCGAAA